Molecule: long non-coding RNA, 643 nt
Organism: Nematostella vectensis (starlet sea anemone)
Lineage: Eukaryota; Metazoa; Cnidaria; Anthozoa; Actiniaria; Edwardsiidae
Exons: 3
Source: RefSeq, a predicted model, not a curated record
UUCACACCCGGGCCAUGCAUUUAUAAGGUCUUGGCCACGAAGCGUGGCGAGCAACGGAUUUACAACAGUUUUAGGGGAAUUUUUCACUGAAAUAAUUAUCAAUUGUUUGGAUAACGAUAUGAUAUUUUACAUCGUGUUUAACUUAUAUCCUGGUGCAAGAAUCAUUUGAAAAAAGCGGCGCUUUUCUCGAGAAAUUCACGCGACUAGCUAACAGAACAGUGCAUUCGAGAAUGGCGCCGAAAACGGAACCAUGGACACGUCAAGUGGUAAUGGCGAAUGAGCUGCUUCUCUGAGUUACAGUUACUAAAUUCCAGAUAAAAGAUUCCCUAAGAAACAGUUGCUUGUUGCACAAUCCCAAUGGGAAGCAAUUUUUCACCGGCUUAGAGGAAGGGUGAGUCUGCAGGAAGUCAGCGGUAAUGUAUACGUCGGAACCCGGUCGACAAGCCGUCGGAAGUCCCGACUGACAAAGUAAUUACAAGAUGGCGGCUGAGACACCUGGAAAUCGCGAAGAAUCUUCAAGACUUAGUUUUACAAUAAUUACGCUCUUCAUUUCUGCGGAAUUUUCCAAGUAUUGAAGGAUCCAAUGACCUGAGACAGCAGCCGCCGCUCAGUUUGGACAUUUAAGUUGAUUGAUGGAAUCCAA